UCAAACUUGGUCAUUUAGAGGAAGUAAAAGUCGUAACAAGGUUUCCGUAGGUGAACCUGCGGAAGGAUCAUUACCGUUGGAGCUUGCUCCAUCUGGGAUAGAACCCUUGAUUUUGAGUACCUUCUCGUUUCCUCGGCGGGUUCGCCCGCCGGUGGACAACCAAAACUCUUUGUAAUAGCAGUAUCUUCUGAAAAAUAAAACAAAUAGUCAAAACUUUCAACAACGGAUCUCUUGGUUCUGGCAUCGAUGAAGAACGCAGC
Molecule: unclassified non-coding RNA, 260 nt
Filed under: uncultured fungus
Lineage: Eukaryota; Fungi
Description: partial contains small subunit ribosomal RNA, internal transcribed spacer 1, and 5.8S ribosomal RNA
Rfam family: Eukaryotic small subunit ribosomal RNA (bases 1-73)
Source: RNAcentral